UGACUGAAAAUUGCAUUAAAUGCAAAUUUGAUGCUGCUAAUUGCUGCAAUUAUACAAAAUGCAGAGGGGCGCAAAUACUGAAGAUUGCGAGAUUGCAUUAACUGCAAGCUGACUAGCAGAGCUGCUGCCAUACAAAGUACAGAGGGGCGCAAAACUGGAAAUAGCAGAAAUGCACUAAUUGCAAGCUGACUAGCAGAGUACAUCAACCACAGCAAGGAGGAUUAGCUAAGUGGACUCUACAGCCAAUAGGCCACAUAAUUAAGUUAGUUUUAAGUUAAUUCGAAAUGUGCAUUUAGGCGCAAGCGCCGUCACAUAAGUUCGCUGCAUAUAUGUAUAUAUGUGCCGAAAAUAAACUUUUGAAUUGUAAUUAGA
This is a long non-coding RNA of Drosophila mojavensis, 372 nucleotides long. RefSeq lists it as uncharacterized. The transcript is spliced from 4 exons. The record is from RefSeq and is a predicted model, not a curated record. NCBI's taxonomy places the organism in Eukaryota, Metazoa, Arthropoda, Insecta, Diptera, Drosophilidae.